Molecule: ribosomal RNA, 342 nt
Filed under: Triticum aestivum (bread wheat)
Lineage: Eukaryota; Viridiplantae; Streptophyta; Magnoliopsida; Poales; Poaceae
Description: partial small subunit ribosomal RNA
Source: RNAcentral
AUGGCGGAUGCACCUCUUUACAAGCAGCGCCGCAGGUACACCAGGGAGCUCCACGACGUCGACCUCCACGACAACCACAAGCUCCACGUCAUUUGCACAAGCAAGGGUGAAGACGUGGACAAGAUGCUGUCCAUGCUCAGGAGGAAGCUCGGCGGAAUGCCCGUCAAACUAGUCGGCGUUGAUGUCGAGUACACGCACUACAUGAAGCCACAGCCAAUGGAACUAGACAAAUUCCUCAUGAAUGGUGAGUACACCGUCGUCAGAUUCGCCAUUGAAGGAGACAAAAGCAAACUGAAGCUAUAUGGUUUGGAGAUCAACUCCGACAACUACAUUGAUAUUUAG